UGAUUGGCCCCUUCACACCACAAAAAAAAAAUACUGGAGUCAACAGGUCCCACCUGUUCCUUGAUUGACUUGUUGACACCUGUCAGAGUGCAUCAGCAUCAGAAGAAGACGAGACUGACUGACUCAAACUGACGGUCUGUGAUUAUCACUGUCCACCGUCUCUUCAUCUGGGACACGUUCGCAAUGAGCCGCAGUAUCUAUUCUUACUUUAGCAUCUGUCUGAUCCAGGUCUGAAAACUUGAGACCUCUGCUCCAAUCGUCGCGUGGCGAGUGGAAAGGACACCUGACAAGCCGGUGACAGAUGGACUGAGAGCUCUGCGGUGGAGGGAUGUCACGUGCGUUUACCUCAGUGAAUGCUGGGAUAAACCCUCCUUUCCCUUAAGCCUGAGCAGGAUCAGGUUGGCUAAGGAAAAGACCUCCGUCCCUGAGAGCACACAGGGAAAAACGCAAAAUAGGAUCAAACUGAUCUGUGGGUCUGAAGAAGAGCAUCAGCUGGAAAAUUCUCUGGUACCAGACGCUGCAGACAACGGCCCAACUGCUCAUCAUCCUCAGGAGGUAACUCACCAAGCCAAACUUACUGCUGUUCCAGAAAGCAUCCCCGAAGCGAGGAUCGUACUGCAAGGUGGACACCGGGCCGUACUACGCGUAGAUGAGAUGAAUCUUACCGCCUCGGCAACAUAACCUGCACACAAGCUGCUCUGACCUGAGAGGCAGCAGGACGCCGUAGCGGAUGAGGACGCCCAGGCCCCACAGG
Molecule: non-coding RNA, 754 nt
Organism: Gasterosteus aculeatus aculeatus (three-spined stickleback)
Lineage: Eukaryota; Metazoa; Chordata; Actinopteri; Perciformes; Gasterosteidae
Source: RefSeq, a predicted model, not a curated record